RNAcentral lists this ribosomal RNA (433 nucleotides) under uncultured bacterium. Its description in RNAcentral is "bacterial SSU rRNA". It matches the Rfam family "Bacterial small subunit ribosomal RNA", at positions 29 to 507 of the family's 1533-position model. The record is from RNAcentral.
AAUGAACGCUGGCGGCAUGCCUAACACAUGCAAGUCGAACGAGACCUUCGGGUCUAGUGGCGCACGGGUGCGUAACGCGUGGGAAUCUACCCUUGGGUUCGGAAUAACAGUUAGAAAUGACUGCUAAUACCGGAUGAUGACGUAAGUCCAAAGAUUUAUCGCCCAGGGAUGAGCCCGCGUAGGAUUAGCUAGUUGGUGAGGUAAAAGCUCACCAAGGCGACGAUCCUUAGCUGGUCUGAGAGGAUGAUCAGCCACACUGGGACUGAGACACGGCCCAGACUCCUACGGGAGGCAGCAGUGGGGAAUAUUGGACAAUGGGCGAAAGCCUGAUCCAGCAAUGCCGCGUGAGUGAUGAAGGCCUUAGGGUUGUAAAGCUCUUUUACCCGGGAUGAUAAUGACAGUACCGGGAGAAUAAGCUCCGGCUAACUCCGUG